RNAcentral lists this ribosomal RNA (253 nucleotides) under uncultured bacterium. Its description in RNAcentral is "partial 16S ribosomal RNA". It matches the Rfam family "Bacterial small subunit ribosomal RNA", at positions 524 to 776 of the family's 1533-position model. The record is from RNAcentral.
UACGUAGGGGGCAAGCGUUAUCCGGAUUCACUGGGCGUAAAGGGAGCGCAGGCGGCACGGCAAGUCUGGUGUGAAAACCCGGGGCUCAACCCCGGGACUGCAUUGGAAACUGCCGGGCUGGAGUGUCGGAGGGGUAAGCGGAAUUCCUAGUGUAGUGGUGAAAUGCGUAGAUAUUAGGAGGAACACCAGUGGCGAAGGCGGUCUGCUGGACAGCAACUGACGCUGAGGCGCGAAAGCGUGGGGAGCAAACAGG